Molecule: long non-coding RNA, 775 nt
Filed under: Rosa chinensis
Lineage: Eukaryota; Viridiplantae; Streptophyta; Magnoliopsida; Rosales; Rosaceae
Description: sRNA RchiOBHm_Chr3g0497031
Rfam family: Small nucleolar RNA U19 (bases 153-283)
Source: RNAcentral
GCGUAUGAAACCCUAGCCGUAUCACGAGUCCACGAUUGGAGGCGGCACCUCUGCGAGGGUCAGGUCUCUUAGAAUUGAUAAUUGUGUCGGUGUUUGUUGUUGUUGUUAUUGCCUCUUUAGAGUAGCCUUAUGAAUUGAUUUGGAUUUCAUAUAUGUGGGCUUAGUUAGGAGGCAAACAUUAAUCUCAAUCCAACAUGUUUUGUGUUGGAUUGAGCGAGGCGUUUUUGAGGGGACUCUCUGCUCUUUCUCAGUUCAGUUGUCCUCCAAGCACCCUCAUACAUUAUUAAUCUCUUUCUCUUUCUCUCUUCUUAUAUCUGCCUCACGAAUAAUCAUACUGUGAAUCCACACAGUUUGGUUCAGACAGGGGCGCACAGCGAUUCGAUUCGAUGCGAUUCAAGGGUGUGACCAGAUCGAUGUGUUCAUCCUUUGUUGCUUUUGCAACUCCGCUUGCUUCGGACAUUUGAUUUGAUUUGAUUUUGCUGUUUCUUUUGAUUGUUUGGGCCUCAGAAAAACCGAAAGGUUGAUCUUGAUACGGCGCCGUUCGGUCCUCACUGAGAAGAGAGGCUCAGAGUUAAGAGGGUUUAGCCUCCCGAAUCGGUUUGAGGGUUAGGGAUGAAAUCAGCUUUCCAUUCCUUUCCUAUAGGAUUUUCGGAGAUUUUUUUUUAUUUUCCCUGCAACUUCAACUUGGGUGGGUUUUUGUUAGAUAAACCGGAACAAAUGUUUACCCUUGACCCAUUUUAACUUGAGGAUGUUAGCAAUGACAGAUUGGUUGACG